UGUGAUCAUAACAAGGAAACAGUUAACAAUAAGCAAUGGCACCCCAUAGAUACGCAUUACCCAAGCCAACCCUUUUGCCAUUGUAGCCUGAUAAAGCACAAACGUUGUGGCAAAGAUUCCGAGGUCAGCAAUGUAAAUCUGAAGCCUUUCUCUUUCGGAAAAUAUUGGGCCAUAGGGAUCAUAAUGGCAAGCAAAGCGAUCGUAAGGUCUACCAGAGACAUUGAAAGCUAAGUAUAAAGGCCAGCCAAGGAGGAGCGUGGCAGCAAGUGUCAAAACUCGACCUGGCGGGUUGUUUAAGUACUUAGAAUACCAUGAAAUUUUCGACUUUGAUUUCGGGACGAACACUUCGUCUCGCUCGAGAGAUCCUAUGUUAGAAUGGUGGCGGCGAUGGCUAUAUUUCCAUGAAAAAUAUGGAACCAGAAGUGCAGAAUGGACAAUUAGGCCAACAAUGUCAUCAGCCAGCUGAUACUCACUAAAAGCAUGAUGGCCACAUUCAUGGCCGAUGACCCAAAGACCAGUGAGAAUGCAGCCUUGGAAGAGCCAGUAAACCAGCCAAGCGACAUACGAGAGCGGAGAAGAGAUGUAAGGGAAGAAGUUGGUGGCGAUCGAGUAGAAAAGAAAACUUAAGCAGACAUCAUAGGCAACAUAGGAGAAUGAGCGCACAAAAGAGCGUUCAAAGCAAUGGGGUGGGAUGGCUCUCUUGAGGUCACCAAGUGUGAAAGGAGGCUUCGUGUGCGGCGCUCGCUUAAGGUGGCUGCUUCCUCCUUUCUUCUCACUGUUGUUGCUGGUUAUGACAGUAGACAUGCGACCACCACCUCCCAUUCUUAAGCUCUUUUUUAAGCACUUUCCU
RNAcentral lists this long non-coding RNA (850 nucleotides) under Ricinus communis (castor bean). RNAcentral describes it as "long non-coding RNA (RCOM_LNC002285)". Lineage: Eukaryota; Viridiplantae; Streptophyta; Magnoliopsida; Malpighiales; Euphorbiaceae. The record is from RNAcentral.